RNAcentral lists this ribosomal RNA (429 nucleotides) under uncultured eukaryote. RNAcentral describes it as "bacterial SSU rRNA". It matches the Rfam family "Eukaryotic small subunit ribosomal RNA", at positions 592 to 1018 of the family's 1831-position model. The record is from RNAcentral.
CAAUAGCGUAUAUUAAAGUUGUUGCGGUUAAAAAGCUCGUAGUCGGAUUUUGGCACCAUGCCGAACUGUCUGCCGAUUGGUUUGUACGGUUUGGCGGGUGCUUCCUUCCGGAAGCCCGCGUUUUCUUCACUGAAGGGCGCGGUGAGUCCGGAUCAUUUACUUUUGAAAAAAUUAAGAGUGUUCAAAGCAGGCCUAUGCUCUGAAUAGGUUAUCAUGGAAUAAUAGAAUAGGACUUCGGUACUAUUUUGUUGGUUUCUAGGACCGAAGUAAUGAUUAAUAGGGACAGUUGGGGGCGAUUCAUAUUCCAUUGUUCAGAGGUGGAAAUUACUUUGGUAUUAACGGAAGAUGAACUACUGCGAAAGCAUCUGCCAAGGAUGUUUUCAUUGAUCAAGAACGAAAGUUAGGGAGUCGAAGAUGAUUAGAUACCAU